This 300-nucleotide unclassified non-coding RNA is filed under the name uncultured Pleosporales. Its description in RNAcentral is "sequence contains ITS1". The stretch from base 1 to 105 matches the Rfam family "5.8S ribosomal RNA", at positions 50 to 154 of the family's 154-position model. Lineage: Eukaryota; Fungi; Ascomycota; Dothideomycetes; Pleosporales. The record is from RNAcentral.
GAAAUGCGAUGAGUAGUGUGAAUUGCAGAAUUCAGUGAAUCAUCGAAUAUUUGAACGUACAUUGCGCCCCGUGGUAUUCCAUGGGGCAUGCCUGUUCGAGCGUCAGUUGUACCCUCAAGCUUUGCUUGGUGUUGGGCGUCUAGUCCUCUUCUGGAGGGCUCGCCUCAAAACAAUUGGCAGCCGGCAUAUUGGUAUCGGAGCGCAGCACAAGUCGCACUUCUUUCCAUGACUGUUGGCAUCCAUCAAGACCAUUCUUUCACUCUUGACCUCGGCUCAGGUAGGGAUACCCGCUGAACUUAA